This 1428-nucleotide ribosomal RNA is filed under the name uncultured organism. Its description in RNAcentral is "16S ribosomal RNA". It matches the Rfam family "Bacterial small subunit ribosomal RNA". The record is from RNAcentral.
GCUUAACACAUGCAAGUCGAGGGGCAGCAUGGUCUUUUCUUGCUAAGGCCGAUGGCGACCGGCGCACGGGUGAGUAACACGUAUCCAACCUGCCGUCUACUCUUGGACAGCCUUCUGAAAGGAAGAUUAAUACAAGAUGGCAUCAUGAGUCCACAUGUUCACAUGAUUAAAGGUAUUCCGGUAGACGAUGGGGAUGCGUUCCAUUAGAUAGUAGGCGGGGUAACGGCCCACCUAGUCUUCGAUGGAUAGGGGUUCUGAGAGGAAGGUCCCCCACAUUGGAACUGAGACACGGUCCAAACUCCUACGGGAGGCAGCAGUGAGGAAUAUUGGUCAAUGGGCGAGAGCCUGAACCAGCCAAGUAGCGUGAAGGAUGACUGCCCUAUGGGUUGUAAACUUCUUUUAUAAAGGAAUAAAGUCGGGUAUGCAUACCCGUUUGCAUGUACUUUAUGAAUAAGGAUCGGCUAACUCCGUGCCAGCAGCCGCGGUAAUACGGAGGAUCCGAGCGUUAUCCGGAUUUAUUGGGUUUAAAGGGAGCGUAGAUGGAUGUUUAAGUCAGUUGUGAAAGUUUGCGGCUCAACCGUAAAAUUGCAGUUGAUACUGGAUAUCUUGAGUGCAGUUGAGGCAGGCGGAAUUCGUGGUGUAGCGGUGAAAUGCUUAGAUAUCACGAAGAACUCCGAUUGCGAAGGCAGCCUGCUAAGCUGCAACUGACAUUGAGGCUCGAAAGUGUGGGUAUCAAACAGGAUUAGAUACCCUGGUAGUCCACACGGUAAACGAUGAAUACUCGCUGUUUGCGAUAUACAGCAAGCGGCCAAGCGAAAGCGUUAAGUAUUCCACCUGGGGAGUACGCCGGCAACGGUGAAACUCAAAGGAAUUGACGGGGGCCCGCACAAGCGGAGGAACAUGUGGUUUAAUUCGAUGAUACGCGAGGAACCUUACCCGGGCUUAAAUUGCAGAUGAAUUACGGUGAAAGCCGUAAGCCGCAAGGCAUCUGUGAAGGUGCUGCAUGGUUGUCGUCAGCUCGUGCCGUGAGGUGUCGGCUUAAGUGCCAUAACGAGCGCAACCCUUGUUGUCAGUUACUAACAGGUCAUGCUGAGGGCUCUGACAAGACUGCCAUCGUAAGAUGUGAGGAAGGUGGGGAUGACGUCAAAUCAGCACGGCCCUUACGUCCGGGGCUACACACGUGUUACAAUGGGGGGUACAGAGGGCCGCUACCACGCGAGUGGAUGCCAAUCCCAAAAACCUCUCUCAGUUCGGACUGGAGUCUGCAACCCGACUCCACGAAGCUGGAUUCGCUAGUAAUCGCGCAUCAGCCACGGCGCGGUGAAUACGUUCCCGGGCCUUGUACACACCGCCCGUCAAGCCAUGGGAGCCGGGGGUACCUGAAGUGCGUAACCGCGAGGAGCGCCCUAGGGUAAAACUGGUGACUGG